This 253-nucleotide ribosomal RNA is filed under the name uncultured bacterium. RNAcentral describes it as "partial 16S ribosomal RNA". It matches the Rfam family "Bacterial small subunit ribosomal RNA", at positions 524 to 776 of the family's 1533-position model. The record is from RNAcentral.
UACGAAGGGGGCUAGCGUUGCUCGGAAUCACUGGGCGUAAAGCGCACGUAGGCGGAUUGCUAAGUCAGGGGUGAAAUCCUGGAGCUCAACUCCAGAACUGCCUUUGAUACUGGCGAUCUCGAGUCCGGGAGAGGUGAGUGGAACUGCGAGUGUAGAGGUGAAAUUCGUAGAUAUUCGCAAGAACACCAGUGGCGAAGGCGGCUCACUUGCCCGGUACUGACGCUGAGGUGCGAAAGCGUGGGGAGCAAACAGG